UAUCAAAAAAUGCCUUGUCAUUCAAUACCAAAUGUCAAUACCUAAGGAGUAAAUCUCAUCAGCGUCAAUGAGCCGAUAAGCACACAGCAUGCUUCUACCGAGAUCGAAUAACAUCUGUGAUUGGCUGCCCA
Etheostoma cragini (Arkansas darter) is the source of this 131-nucleotide long non-coding RNA. RefSeq lists it as uncharacterized. The transcript is spliced from 4 exons. The record is from RefSeq and is a predicted model, not a curated record. NCBI's taxonomy places the organism in Eukaryota, Metazoa, Chordata, Actinopteri, Perciformes, Percidae.